Molecule: long non-coding RNA, 745 nt
Filed under: Cottoperca gobio
Lineage: Eukaryota; Metazoa; Chordata; Actinopteri; Perciformes; Bovichtidae
Description: lncRNA (ENSCGOG00000000569.1)
Source: RNAcentral
AUUUACACGUUGCUCAGUUGCUUGCAUCCUAAUUUUUAAAGUUAAAGUUGGCCAAAUCUGCUUCAAUACAGAUGUUAUCAUACGUUGUUCCCUGUGGCUGGGUGUGCAGCAAGCAUCAGCUGAGUACUGUGGAGAACAAGAGCUUUCAGGUCACGGAUUACAAACCAGAAACAUGUGCAACACAUUCUACACAGUGUGACCGCCAUCUUCUUCGACUGUUGACCUUAUUCGGACAGACGGCGUAUAAAACUGUGAAGACAGCAGAUGAACAGAUGGCCUUUUCCCACCACGCUCUUACACACGCAGACCAGCAAGUAAAGCAGUGAUAUGACAUUCUUAAAUCUGCACCAAAAAAAAUGACUUUGUUUCUCCCCAAUGAAUGUAUUGUUUACACACAUAUUGUACAGAGUUAGACUUAUAAAACACCAAUUAGUCAGCACAGUUACAAAUCACAGUCACUGUCUGUACGGGUGUGUGCACUGCUGCGUUCAGUUGGACCAUUGUUUCCUCUGAGCUAGUGUUGCUCAUGCUCCAUCUCUGCUUCUCAAUGAUCUGACUGACCACUAUGCACAACGUUACAGCCAUCAUCAUCAUCAUCAUCAUCAUUUGCUUCAGGCUCAUCUUCAGAAAUAGAAAUAGUCUUUGUCAAAAGUUCCGCAGCCCUGCACCAUCAUCUUACUGUGACGGUACACUAAAUAACAAAGAGCUCUUCGUCCACAUGUUUGACCGUCCUUCAACUUUGAAA